RNAcentral lists this ribosomal RNA (429 nucleotides) under Chloroflexota bacterium. RNAcentral's name for it is "Chloroflexi bacterium partial 16S ribosomal RNA". It matches the Rfam family "Bacterial small subunit ribosomal RNA", at positions 355 to 776 of the family's 1533-position model. Lineage: Bacteria; Bacillati; Chloroflexota. The record is from RNAcentral.
UGGGGAAUAUUGCACAAUGGGCGCAAGCCUGAUGCAGCCAUGCCGCGUGUAUGAAGAAGGCCUUCGGGUUGUAAAGUACUUUCAGCGGGGAGGAAGGGAGUAAAGUUAAUACCUUUGCUCAUUGACGUUACCCGCAGAAGAAGCACCGGCUAACUCCGUGCCAGCAGCCGCGGUAAUACGGAGGGUGCAAGCGUUAAUCGGAAUUACUGGGCGUAAAGCGCACGCAGGCGGUUGAUUGAGUCUGAUGUGAAAUCCCCGGGCUUAACCCGGGAAUUGCAUCUGAUACUGGUCAGCUAGAGUCUUGUAGAGGGGGGUAGAAUUCCAUGUGUAGCGGUGAAAUGCGUAGAGAUGUGGAGGAAUACCGGUGGCGAAGGCGGCCCCCUGGACAAAGACUGACGCUCAGGUGCGAAAGCGUGGGGAGCAAACAGG